CUACGGGGGGCAGCCUUCUAGAGUCUUUCCAAUGGGGGCAACCCUGAUGGAUCAACGCCACGCGGAAAAUAAGGCCUUCCGAUUGUAGUUUCCUGUCAUGUGUGAACAAUGUUACGGUGCUAAUACCUUUGCAAUUUGAUGUCCAGCCCUCAGGAAGAGACGGCUAACUCUGUGCCAGCAGCCGCGGCCCUACACAUUUCUCAAGCGUUGUUCGGAAUCACUGGGCGUAAAGGGUGCGUAGGUGGCGUGGAAACGCUAUGUGAAAGCCCGGGGCUCAACCUCGGAAUUGCAUCCUAUACUGCCAUGUUCCAGUACGGACCAGGUGACCAAAAUUCUAGGUGUAGCAGUGAAAUGCGUCCAUUUCAACAGAAAUACACAACGCGAAGGCCGGCCACUGUCAAGCUACUGACAUUGAGGCAGGAAUGCCACGUUAGCCAACGGGAUUAGAUGCCGCAGUAGUCC
RNAcentral lists this ribosomal RNA (462 nucleotides) under uncultured Verrucomicrobiota bacterium. Its description in RNAcentral is "bacterial SSU rRNA". It matches the Rfam family "Bacterial small subunit ribosomal RNA", at positions 339 to 796 of the family's 1533-position model. Lineage: Bacteria; Pseudomonadati; Verrucomicrobiota. The record is from RNAcentral.